RNAcentral lists this ribosomal RNA (435 nucleotides) under uncultured Oscillospiraceae bacterium. RNAcentral describes it as "partial 16S ribosomal RNA". It matches the Rfam family "Bacterial small subunit ribosomal RNA", at positions 341 to 792 of the family's 1533-position model. Lineage: Bacteria; Bacillati; Bacillota; Clostridia; Eubacteriales; Oscillospiraceae. The record is from RNAcentral.
ACGGGAGGCAGCAGUGGGGAAUAUUGGGCAAUGGGCGCAAGCCUGACCCAGCGACGCCGCGUGAGGGAAGAAGGUCUUCGGAUUGUAAACCUCUUUCAGCAGGGAAGACUAGAGACGGUACCUGCAGAAGAAGUCACGGCUAACUACGUGCCAGCAGCCGCGGUAAUACGUAGGUGGCGAGCGUUAUCCGGAAUUACUGGGUGUAAAGGGUGUGUAGGCGGAGAAGCAAGUCAGGCGUGAAAUAUUUGGGCUCAACCCGGGAGUUGCGCUUGAAACUGUUGCCCUUGAGAGUGGGAGAGGUAAACGGAAUUCCUGGUGUAGUAGUGAAAUGCGUAGAUAUCAGGAGGAACACCGGUGGCGAAGGCGGUUUACUGGACCACAACUGACGCUGAGACACGAAAGCGUGGGGAGCAAACAGGAUUAGAUACCCUGGUA